AGCGUAGCUCAGAGGUAGAGCAGCGGUUUCGUAAACCGCUGGCCGAAGGUUCGACUCCUUUCGCU
This 65-nucleotide transfer RNA is filed under the name marine eukaryotic metagenome. It matches the Rfam family "tRNA". Rfam says of the family: Transfer RNA (tRNA) molecules are approximately 80 nucleotides in length. Their secondary structure includes four short double-helical elements and three loops (D, anti-codon, and T loops). Further hydrogen bonds mediate the characteristic L-shaped molecular structure. tRNAs have two regions of fundamental functional importance: the anti-codon, which is responsible for specific mRNA codon recognition, and the 3' end, to which the tRNAs corresponding amino acid is attached (by aminoacyl-tRNA synthetases). tRNAs cope with the degeneracy of the genetic code in two manners: having more than one tRNA (with a specific anti-codon) for a particular amino acid; and 'wobble' base-pairing, i.e. permitting non-standard base-pairing at the 3rd anti-codon position. The record is from RNAcentral.